CUUUAUUAUGACUCAUUUAUUAUGAAUCCUUUUUUAUGAAUCCUUUGUAAUGAAUCCUUUAUAAUGAAUCGUUUAUAAUGAAUCGUUUAUAAUGAAUCGUUGAUAAUGAAUUGUUCAUAAUGAAUCCUUUAUAAUGAAUCGUUUAUAAUGAAUCCUUUAUGCACUAAGGCGGUCUCACUGAGUGGAAACUAGGAAACUGAGAUGGAGUAGAGAAGCUUCUGAGAAGGUUUUGUACAUUUAAAUUCAUGUAACACUUGUUAGGAAAGUCAAGCAUUUCCAUGUAUAUAUAUAUAUAUAUCUGAAGCAUAUCCUUGACCUGAAGAACAGCUGCUCACAUUGUGGACCUGCUGGUGAGAGCCAGAGGGUGACAGAGCAGCUGAGAGGUACCGGAGGCCUCCUGCUGAGAAGCAGAUUAUUUAUUAGUACUUGGAGUUUAUUUACUGGACCUAUGAAACAUCGAAACAUGAAAGACAUUUCAUCUUUCUUAUGAUAUGAUAUUCCUUUAGUCGUCUGUGUGUCUAUGUAUUAUGCCUGAUACAGUUAAAGUCAGUCAGUUUAACUCUAUACAGGAUCCAUGGGAGGACAACACAGCUUCAACAUUAUACAACGUUAUUUCUGUAAAAUCCAUGAAUCUGUAUAUUUUGAUAAUAAAGUAAUGAUACGCUGCUGGUCACCUAACAUACUCUGCUCUAGUCAGGGCCCUCGUGGUUGCUAUGACGAUGGGAUACGUUCCUUAUCUCUAUCUAACACUGACACUUUGAUUUAACAGAAGAAACACAUGCAGUCAGCAGGACCUGGGGUCCAGACUCGGGUCAAAGAGGACGGAAAUCUCCUGAGGAGGUUCUGAGGAGGUUCUGAGGAGGUUCUCCUGAACCACGAACAACACGAGAGACGAGAGUCACAGAGACUCCUUCAGCCUAACACACACACACACACACACACACAGAUUGCAUUAGCGUGCCGGCUGCGUGGAAAGCCUCCGCCCGCCUCGCCGCCAGAGGAACGAUCCAGGAAGCAAUGACAAGUCUUCCUGGUCUUCACCUGCUGGUCCUCACAGGGACGUCUCACUGAAGGUUCUGGAUCCUCU
Pseudoliparis swirei is the source of this 1087-nucleotide long non-coding RNA. RefSeq lists it as uncharacterized. The transcript has 3 exons. The record is from RefSeq and is a predicted model, not a curated record. NCBI's taxonomy places the organism in Eukaryota, Metazoa, Chordata, Actinopteri, Perciformes, Liparidae.